UAGGAGGAGCGUAUGCUGGCAGAGAGGGAGAAGUGCUUUGGCUGCCCUUUUUGAGGAGAGGUUUUGGCCUGGGGAACAGAGGUUCAUCUUUUUGGGGGGGAAAAAACAGAGAUGUGAUUCUGUUAGCUAGCCUAGGGAGAUAUUUUCGCAAGACGUUAGUGAGGGGGGUGUAUUCAGUUUCUGAGAGAUAUGUGAGAGAUUUUCAUUUUCUGGUCAUGGUUUGAGAGGAAGAACCAUAAGGGGAGACGAUCUCUUGGAGAGCAGUCUUUUGAGAGGGAUUUUUUGAGUGGACCAUUUGCUAGAGACAAAGCAGUGAGCUGAAGCCCCAGACACUUGGUUGAGGAAGAGACUUUCAGGUAUGGUUAUCAUGGUUUUCCCGUAUAUUUUCAUCUUGCAGGUAUUCCCUUUGCGUCAUUCUCUGUAAUUUUAACUCUGCUUGUUGGUUUGUGUUGGUUUGGUGAUUAUUGGUUUAAUAUUUGAAUGACUUACUGCAUUUUGUGCUCUAAUCAUGUAAACAUUUUCCGUUUUUGACCCACUGAUUGAUGGACCCAUGGAUAAAAUAAUGAAGUGGGUUCAACACGUUUGUUAAAGGUUUCAUGUUCAUUUCCUGUUGCUAUUCUCUUGCUCCCCUGUUUUCCCCCGAAUGUAUACUCAAGGCUUUAAGAUUAGGAGGAACUGGUUGAAGCUGAACCUGGCAGUCUAUAGUAAGAUGGUUGAUGGGCUCUGUUUCUCACAUUGAUUCAUCCUGGAGGCUUAUUCUCACUCUUGGUGGGAAGUAGAUGAUUUACUGCUAAAAUGAGACAGACGCCAUGACGCCAAUGUGCUCCGAAAUAAAGUUUCGAAAGUGUCAAUAUAGUUGAAAGACCCGCCAGUCUGGGCUGGUGCAAGGGCUUGACCCCUUUUGAGGUCCUAAACCCGAUCAAUAAACCCGAAAGACUCUCGGACAAGCCACUACAUCCUCUUCUGUAGGAUGUGCAUGAGAUUGAUGGUAUUGGAAGUGUACCAAUGGGAUGUGCCAAAGCUGGUGCCUUAAAGUCCAGUAUGGUAGUGACUUUUGGCCCUUCUGAACUCACAAUGGAAUUCAGGCCCAACAAGACGCACCAUCAGUCCCUUUUAGAAGCCGUGCUUGAUGAUAUAUUAAGCUUCAAUGUGAAAAAUACUGUUAUGAAUGAUCUAGAACGUGGCUUUGUCACAUUUAGCUCCAAAUGUCGCUCCUAUAAAGGGAAUGGCCUAUUUCACUA
This is a long non-coding RNA of Vitis vinifera (wine grape), 1241 nucleotides long. RefSeq lists it as uncharacterized. Lineage: Eukaryota; Viridiplantae; Streptophyta; Magnoliopsida; Vitales; Vitaceae. The record is from RefSeq and is a predicted model, not a curated record. The transcript has 2 exons.